UCGAACACCAUCCUGCCCCGGCCCGGGAGCCGCCGCUGCCUCGGGCCGCGCGCUCCCUCCCCUCCGCCUGCCCGGGCCUCUCAGACCAGAGGCUGAGGGGUCCCCACCCUGAGCAGCGAGUAGGAGCCAAACCACGGCUGUUCCAGGCUUGAAAAUCCUGAAAUACCAGAGAUAAAUAGGAUAAUUGUGUGUCCACACAGACCUUAUGUGAUUGUCAUAUGCAGCUGCUUAUUGGAAGGUGUUUUCUUCAAAAUGUAUAAAUCCAACACUGAAGACUUGACUGUACCCAGCACAGAGGCCAGAUCCUGGGCCCCUCUCUGACAGCAGAGCACAAAGCAGCCAGAAAUUUAUUCCUGAAUAUUUCUUCUACUUCGGGGAAUCCUUCAGUGUCAAAGAACCACUGGAACAGCACUUACACCAACCCCUACUGAUCUCCAGUGCAAAAGGAGUGUGCCAUAGGAGAAAGGAAGCCUGGGAACCCCUCCCUUCAAGUUCUCCUAGGGAUCAAGUUACAACCCGGUUUUCUGCAGAUCCUGUGUCUCCUCAGAGGCCCAGAUUUUAACAACUCUCAAGUUCCUUAAGAAUUCCCACCUGAAUCUCCCUGAGGGCCGAGGCUGUGACUUUACUCAUCCUUCUCCCCGCUAUGUGAGAAAAGCCAAACUCGUGAUUCGACAUAAGUGGAGAUAAAUUUCAAAUUUCAUUGUCCGUUGAGUACUAGCAAUUGGGGCUGUCUACAAUCAUUGUGUUUAGUUCCUGGAGACCAAAGUUAAUUAAGACUGACUUAAUGCUUUAGCUAGAAAUACAAUAAUCACCAAAUAUAUAAAUCACACAAUAUAUAAAAUUAAUACAGCUAUCUCCCAUAUUCUUCAAAUACAUAUAUACCAAGGUGCAAAGGAUCUGAUUUUCUAUGAGACUUAGGCUCCUAAGUUGCUUAGGUGCUUUUGAAAAUCCCACUAGUCGCCUAUCUUCAUCUUUAGGUGCCUAAACAUCUUUAAAAAUCUGGCCCCAAGUGAUAAACACAACAGAGAGAACAAGGGAAAAGGGUUCCUGCAUUAAUGGCAGCAUUGCUGUGUGGCCUAGUAGCAAGAGUAAGACUUGAGAGUACAUAGCUCAUUGGCUUUAAUAAUGAGGAAUGUUCUUAAGCCCGUCUCCUCACUGGUGUACUGAAAACUAUUAAAAUUGUAAGCUAUCACUUUAAAUGCUGGGCAGGAUGGGGAGAAUUCCUGGUUCCGUUUGCAGGCUGGGGACUCUGCAGGGAAGUGUGUGAUCUGGGCCUAGCAAAGUCAUUUAUACAGACAGCCUACAGUAAGGUGAGGAGAGCUGUGGCUCCCUGUUUUAGAGAGCAACCCAUUCUAUCUGUCUCUUUGUUUUGGGGUUCUUGUAUGUUGUCAUUCUGAAUUCUAAAAAAUAAAGUCAUGUUACAUUGCA
Molecule: long non-coding RNA, 1428 nt
Organism: Chrysemys picta bellii (western painted turtle)
Lineage: Eukaryota; Metazoa; Chordata; Testudines; Emydidae
Source: RefSeq, a predicted model, not a curated record